Molecule: long non-coding RNA, 530 nt
Organism: Impatiens glandulifera
Lineage: Eukaryota; Viridiplantae; Streptophyta; Magnoliopsida; Ericales; Balsaminaceae
Exons: 3
Source: RefSeq, a predicted model, not a curated record
AAAAUGUCUAAUUUGACAAAGUGUGAAUGUGAAGAAGAUGAAUGCUAAUCAUUUUCAUUUGAUUAAAUUCUCAAAUAUUUUAAUUAUCUUCAAGCAGCUGUAAUCUAAAUUAUAAAGAAAAUUAUUAUCAUGAUGUCAGAUUGGGGUAUUGCGGCUGUUGACAAUAAUUAUGUUCAAAUUUUAUGAGGGAUUAAGAAGACGGGCAUAGCCCUUAUUUCUGAACUGAAGCUGAUGUCAAUAUAGGUUCUAAGAUCUUAAUUGGUCUGAACUAGGUUUAGUUUAUCCAUAUUCUCUAGUCAAGCAAACAAAGAAGAAGAAAAUCGUAUCCCUGUUUUUAGAUUUUGAUAUAAAUACGAGAGGCGCAGAGAUAAAAAAGUUUGUCUCCAAUGUAAGGGAUUACUUUGAUGACUAUGGAUUACAAUAAGAAAAGAAGAUUGUUGAGAACUGGAUUGAAUGUAACAUGUUAUAACAGUUCAAAUAUAGAUUUUAAAUAAAAUUUGUACUAUAAAAAUAUUUUGUUUGUUUGGGUA